UACGUAGGGGGCGAGCGUUGUCCGGAAUGACUGGGCGUAAAGGGCGUGUAGGCGGUCUAUUAAGUCUGGAGUGAAAGUCCUGCUUUCAAGGUGGGAAUUGCUAUGGAGACUGGCUGACUUGAGCGCGGAAGAGGUAAGUGGAAUUCCCAGUGUAGCGGUGAAAUGCGUAGAGAUUGGGAGGAACACCAGUGGCGAAGGCGACUUACGGGGCCGUAACUGACGCUGAGGCGCGAAAGCGUGGGGAGCGAAC
Molecule: ribosomal RNA, 250 nt
Filed under: uncultured prokaryote
Description: partial 16S ribosomal RNA
Rfam family: Bacterial small subunit ribosomal RNA
Source: RNAcentral